This 556-nucleotide ribosomal RNA is filed under the name Colletotrichum sp. RNAcentral's name for it is "eukaryotic LSU rRNA". It matches the Rfam family "Eukaryotic large subunit ribosomal RNA", at positions 71 to 651 of the family's 3401-position model. The record is from RNAcentral. Lineage: Eukaryota; Fungi; Ascomycota; Sordariomycetes; Glomerellales; Glomerellaceae.
GGGAUUGCCCCAGUAACGGCGAGUGAAGCGGCAACAGCUCAAAUUUGAAAUCUGGCCCCAGGCCCGAGUUGUAAUUUGCAGAGGAUGCUUUUGGCGCGGUGCCUUCCGAGUUCCCUGGAACGGGACGCCAUAGAGGGUGAGAGCCCCGUACGGUUGGACACCAAGCCUUUGUAAAGCUCCUUCGACGAGUCGAGUAGUUUGGGAAUGCUGCUCUAAAUGGGAGGUACAUUUCUUCUAAAGCUAAAUAUUGGCCAGAGACCGAUAGCGCACAAGUAGAGUGAUCGAAAGAUGAAAAGCACUUUGAAAAGAGGGUUAAACAGCACGUGAAAUUGUUAAAAGGGAAGCGCUUGUGACCAGACUUGCGUCCGGUGAAUCACCCAGCUCUCGCGGCUGGGGCACUUCGCCGGCACAGGCCAGCAUCAGCUUGCCGUCGGGGACAAAAGCUUCAGGAACGUGGCUCCUCUCGGGGAGUGUUAUAGCCUGUUGCAUAAUACCCUUCGGCGGGCUGAGGUACGCGCUCCGCAAGGAUGCUGGCGUAAUGGUCAUCAGCGACCCG